AGAUCAAACGGAUCCAGAUCAGUUCUGUAAAAUAGAGUUUGGGCCAUUGCUUCCCAAUGGCAGACAGGACUCACAGUUUGUGACACAAAUUGGAGAUGACAGACCACACAGAAGCUGAACUCCAGACUAAAAGUCCUGAGAUUGAAGAAAAUCCCAUUGUCCAGGUCCCUGUGAUGAAAGCAACACAUUUCUGCCCACAAGAAAACUUCAGCACAUAUCACUGUCUGCAAGCAACGUGUCGCAUCUGAACAAUCAGAGACUGUGGCGAUCUCCUCCACCCUCCUAUGUGGAAGUUUGCCUUGUGCCUAAACUGAAUUGACGAAUGCAUUGUAACAGCAAUUAUGUACUUUUUUAUUUGUAUUAUUUUUUUCUAUUUAUUAUGUUACUGUGCUGUAAAAUCUAUGUCUAAAGGGAAAAUGAUGAGAUUGCUUUGAGAAGCCUGUGGCUUUUCAGGUGAUCUACAGUUUGCCAGUGUCACUAAUAUAGCCCAGCCUUCCUUCAUAACCAGUCUCAGGCUACCCUGAGUUAAGGCAAAGAUACCUUUGAAAUAUACAGAUGAAUAUAUUUGCCAAUUAAGAGUAAUCUUUAUGGCCCAACAGCAAAUGAUUUGGUUGUAUUGAGUGCUCAAAGACUCAUUUAAAAAAUAUAUAUUAUUUAUAGUAUGAUAUUUUAUUCAUUCCGCAAAAAGCAUGUGUAAACCAAAACAACCCACUCAGAGGUCUGUUUGGUAUAGCCUCCAUGUUACUGACAGAAUUAGAUGAAUAGGACUAAAGCUGAGUGGUGUGUAUGAGCUCUACAGUGAAACAGUAGUAUUCUUUACAGACUGUACUAGCCUGAACACUAUAAACUGAUUCACAGGUGACAGAAGAAUGGCGAACUUUACUUUUCCUGAAAUGUCAACUGCGGGCAAUAUAAGGUUUAUUCUCAGUAGUGUGCAGUUUGAGUACCGAGAGCAAACCCUUUACCAACCUUAGCAUUCCCGACAUAUUUCUUAGUGUCUUAAGGAAAAGGGACUUCACUGCCUUUUCAUUCCUUUGCCAUAUAGUGUUAAUGUAAACAAGUACAGUACAUAGUUCCAGUUUGUUUUCUUACCAUAUGGUCCCUGAUUAGUCGAAGAACCGUGAUCAAGCUCUUUGUGAUUGCCUAGUGCUGUCUUUGAGAUCACUUGAUGAAAAGGUGGAAUCAAAUUGACGACCACAACUCAACUGGCCGGAAUUUUCUUUCUGUUGAAAUAACUAAAGAAAACAAAAUUUGCAAUUCAUUUUAAUGUAAUCAAAGUUUAUUUGUAGUUUUCUACAAACCGUUUCUCUAGGCUUUAUAGGAGAGCAAAUGAUGAGCAGAGAGGAGUUUCUAGUUAAAUAGAAAGGCUUUGUUUUGAUCCCAGCAGUGAAGUUGCUGGUUACAGUAAGCCCUGGUGAAGGGGAACUAGACUAGAUGCUUUAUGAAUUCACAUGCUGUUAACCAUCAGAAACAGUUAGUCCUUCAGAGAGGUAUAGUACAACGAUGAACAAACAGUUUUGAGCAGAAUUUUCUUAAUGUUUUCCUUUCUGUUUGAGGAUGAAGAACAGUGGUCACCACGUUUAUUUUAUAUCUGUGUGCAUGCUUUACUUUCCUUCCCUUUUAAGUCUUUUGGUCUUAACUCUUGCUUUAUAUUCCAUUUUCCUUGUAUAGGCUACUGUCUUCCGUUAUUAUCCAUCCUUUAAAACAUUGCUAUCACACCCAGAGACAAGUAUUUUGUUGAAAUAAAGUAGGCCCUAAUAGAACAAAGAAAGCUAUUGAAAACCAUCCCAAUGAGUUUAAGAAAAAUACAUUUGGUUUUACUACCAUUUUCUUUUGGUCAAAACUUGGAAACAUUGUUAUUUUUCUCUGACUGUAUGUGGCCUUUAUUCAUUUCAGUAUUCAUGAGCUUGUAUUCAUGUUACUGGCAGACUUUGAUUGAGGUUAUAAUGUAUGUCACUGCCUGCUCUCUCAUUUCCCCCCAUUUUGUUCUUUUGCUGGCGGUCUCUUUGCUCUUCUGUUGGCUAUGUUAGACUUUGCUGUGUUCUCAGACGCUUUCCCUCGUAUGAUAUAUGAAAAAUGCUGAGAAAAAAAAUGGAAAGAAAAAAAACAUUUGGCUUAUUUUUCACUGUAGUUAGUCUUUUAUACAAUAAUAUUAAUAUUCUAAGAACAUUUCUUGAAUUAUAAAUAUUACUCUUUCUAGAUUUUUGAAAUCGAAAGUUUUGAGUAAAAAGUUUCUUACUUUAUUUUACUAUAUUAGAUAGUAAAAAUGUACGGUUAUUUACCAUAACCUGUCCAUUAUUAUCUGAAACGUACAAAUAGCAUCCUAAAAACAUAGUAGGGUUGUAGCUCGCAGUCUAGUACAUUGAGGUAUUGUACGAGCAGACAUCUUGAUCUUUAGGCUCCAUUGUUGGUGAAUAAAAUAUUUGUACUUGUGUCCAAAAAUUCAAGGUAUUGUUAAUGCACAUCAAAAACCAGCAGCAAGAAAUUUUACUUUCUGUUUCUGUAACAGAAAACAAUAUGUAUAUAACAUUUAUGUAGCAAUAAAUGUGCCAUCUUUUUUAACCAAUUGUAUGUGGAUUUAUUUCCUUCUUUUGAAGUUCUUUUUUCUGUUUCUCCAUCUUUUGUUUUUCAGUUAUUUCCAUGCAAUUUUGUGAUUGUUUUAAGAGAUGCAUUUGGUUGAGCUCAGUACAAGUACAGUACCAUGAUGUUUUCACUUAAGUGAGCUACUGAAGCAGCAACCCUUCCUAGGUUGUCCCCCUCAGAAGACCUUUCUACAGUGGAUCUAGGCCAAAUGAGGAACUCUGGGCAAGACUGUGUUUUAUAGUAUGUUACUCAUUUUUUUAAAACAAUAUCAGUGGACCAUUGUAGUCUGUAUGAAAAGUACUAUGGAAUAUAUGUUUCUAUUUUUAAUAAAGUGUGAUAGCUGC
Long non-coding RNA from Esox lucius (northern pike), 2927 nucleotides. Lineage: Eukaryota; Metazoa; Chordata; Actinopteri; Esociformes; Esocidae. The record is from Ensembl.